CCCAUAGGAUCGGGGUCCGGUUCCGCUGGUGAUCAGCCAGCGGAGGCAACGGGGAAAGCCGGUGAAAGACCGGCACUGUCCCGCAGCUGUGAAGGCAGAUCGAGCCUGGCUCCCUGUGCCCAGUCAGAACGCCCGCCGGAUUUCCUGAACUCUCG
Molecule: non-coding RNA, 155 nt
Filed under: Cyanobium sp. NIES-981
Lineage: Bacteria; Bacillati; Cyanobacteriota; Cyanophyceae; Synechococcales; Prochlorococcaceae
Source: RNAcentral